RNAcentral lists this ribosomal RNA (502 nucleotides) under uncultured bacterium. RNAcentral describes it as "bacterial SSU rRNA". It matches the Rfam family "Bacterial small subunit ribosomal RNA", at positions 28 to 527 of the family's 1533-position model. The record is from RNAcentral.
GAUGAACGCUAGCGGCAGGCCUAAUACAUGCAAGUCGAACGGUAAGUAUUUUAGCAAUAGAAUACGAGAGUGACGUACGGGUGCGUAACACGUAUGCAACCUACCCUUUACAGGAGGAUAGCUCGGGGAAACUCGAAUUAACCCUCCAUGAGAUCACAGUGUGGCAUCACACAGUGAUUAAAACUCCGGUGGUAAAGGAUGGGCAUGCGUCUGAUUAGUUAGUUGGCGGGGUAACGGCCCACCAAGACGAUGAUCAGUAGGGGAACUGAGAGGUUGAUCCCCCACACUGGCACUGAGAUACGGGCCAGACUCCUACGGGAGGCAGCAGUAGGGAAUAUUGGUCAAUGGAUGGAAGUCUGAACCAGCCAUGCCGCGAGCAGGAAGAAGGCCUUCUGGGUUGUAAACUGCUUUUGCCAGGGGAUAAAAAGACCAUGCGUGGUUAAUUGAAGGUACCUGGUGAAUAAGCCACGGCUAACUACGUGCCAGCAGCCGCGGUAAUACG